GCUACUUGUAUUGAAUUUAGCGAAAACUAAGUUUGUGCAGGAUUGACUUUGUCGAAUAAAGUUCUAGGUGGGUUAUGAUGAUGACAUUUCCUAUCUAUGUGUCUUGACCAAAUUACGUGCCAGCAGUCGCGGUAAUACGUAGAAGACUAGUGUUAUUCAUCUUUAAUAGGUUUAAAGGGUACCUAGACGGUAAAUCAAGUCCGAAAAGGAUACUAAUUUUCUAGAGUUUAAUGUGAGGGGGCACUAAAGUACUGAUAAGUGUAGAGAUGAAAUUCUGUGAUACAAUAUACGGCACUGGCAAAGGCGAAAGCAUCUCAUUAUGUAAUAACUGACGUUGAGGGACGAAGGCUAUGUGUAGCAAAAAGGAUUAGAUACCCAAGUAGUCUUAGCAGAAAAUUAUGAAUGUCAUAGGAUGGAAAAUUUAAAAAAACAAUUUUUUUUCUAUAAAUGAAAGUGUAAGCAUUUCACCUCGAGAGUAAUUUGGCAACAUUGGAACUGAAAUCAUUAGACCGUUUCUGAAACAAGUAGUGAAGUAUGUUGUUUAAUUUGAUGCUACGCAAAAAACCUUACCACAAUUUGAAUAGAAAUUUUAUUUUAUACAAGCGCUGCACGGUUGUCUUCAGUUAAUGUCGUGAGAUCUUGGUUAGUUCC
RNAcentral lists this ribosomal RNA (651 nucleotides) under Rimularia sp. Its description in RNAcentral is "SSU rRNA". It matches the Rfam family "Bacterial small subunit ribosomal RNA", at positions 399 to 1087 of the family's 1533-position model. Lineage: Eukaryota; Fungi; Ascomycota; Lecanoromycetes; Trapeliales; Trapeliaceae. The record is from RNAcentral.